This 110-nucleotide vault RNA is filed under the name Clytia hemisphaerica. It matches the Rfam family "Vault RNA". Rfam says of the family: This family of RNAs are found as part of the enigmatic vault ribonucleoprotein complex. The complex consists of a major vault protein (MVP), two minor vault proteins (VPARP and TEP1), and several small untranslated RNA molecules. Lineage: Eukaryota; Metazoa; Cnidaria; Hydrozoa; Leptothecata; Clytiidae. The record is from Rfam by way of RNAcentral.
GGGUGAGCUUAGCAUAGUGGAUACUUCGUAUAUGGUUUACAAUUUGUCUGUCACACAAAUCUUCCCGGUUCGAUCCCGGGUUGAAUCCGCUCGCGCCGUCUAACCCAGUU